AACAAGGCGUACCUGCGGACCUGCGGAGGGAUCAUUACCGAGUUUACAACUCCCAAACCCCUGUGAACAUACCUAUACGUUGCCUCGGCGGAUCAGCCCGCGCCCUGUAAAACGGGACGGCCCGCCCGAGGACCCUAAACUCUGUUUUUAGUGGAACUUCUGAGUAAAACAAACAAAUAAAUCAAAACUUUCAACAAUGGAUCU
This 204-nucleotide unclassified non-coding RNA is filed under the name soil metagenome. RNAcentral describes it as "partial contains 5.8S ribosomal RNA, internal transcribed spacer 2, and large subunit ribosomal RNA". The record is from RNAcentral.